GCGGCCACGUUUGCGCCACCUACAGCCCGGGAGGGUGGGCGUCAUGGCGGCUUCUGGGCCGCUCCCGGUGACCCAGGACCUGUCCACGUUGCGUGCCAAGUUGCAGGGGCUGCUGCGGUUCCUGAAGGAAGCCCUGUCCAUUUCCAGUGCACAUACAGUGGACUUCUACACGGAGUCCGUGUGGGAGCAAGUGGUCGACUUGCCCCCGGAGACGGUGCUGGCGGCGCUGAGAUCGGCGGCGGAGGCGGAGGCCCAGGCCUCGGAGGCGCGCCUCCAGGUGGAAGCCGAGAGUGGAUCAGAUAUUACUGAUUUUCCAAAAAUAUUUUGUGAAACUUCCCAGAAGCUGGUGAGUGUGGAAGCCUUCGCUCUGGCUGCUAAAUAUUAUUCUGUACAAAACUUGGGAAUAUGUACUCCUUUUGAACAGUUGCUUGUAGCCCUUCGUGGAAAUCAAAAACAGAGAACUGAUGAAAAUGUGAAGCUAGAUGAGUUUAUGAAUUUGAAAAAAUCUCAUGAAGUUCAGGCAAUGUCAGAGGUCAUCAGCAGUAUUGCUGAUUACUGUGGAAUAAAGCAGAUAAUUGACCUGGGUUCUGGAAAAGGCUACCUAAGCUCCUUUUUGUCCUUGAAGUAUGGCUUAAAAGUUUAUGGAAUUGAUUCCUCAAAUACCAAUACUCAUGGAGCUGAGGAGAGAAACAGGAAACUGAAGAAACAUUGGAAAGUCUAUCGUAGGCGGUCAAAAUUAGAUGUCAAUGGACUGGCAUUACAAAUGACAAAAGAAAGGAAAGCGCAAGAUGAAAUUAAAUUUAAAGCCGAUAUUGAGGGAGUAUGUAACAGCAGUACUGCAAAUCAAGAAAAGAUGUUGACCUCGGACUUUCUGCAAGAUUUUUCAGGCUCUGUAAUUUCUAACAUCAGAAAACAAAUGGAAAACCUACAUGUUUAUUCAUAUCGAGAAGAAAAUUUGUGUUUUGAAAAUGCCUUUUCUCUUAGGGACCUUUUGCCUAUUAAUGCCAUAGAACCUACUUCUUCAUCCCAUAUACCCAAGAGAAAAAUGUCUGAAGCAAAUAAAGAGAGAAGAAAAGUGACAUCAAAGUCAAAUGAAUCCAAUAUAUAUUCACCUUUAACAUCUUUUAUCACUGCUGAUUCAGAACUACAUGAUAUUAUUAAAGAUCUGGAGGAUUGUUUGAUGGUAGGUCUGCAUACUUGUGGUGAUCUUGCUCCAAAUACUCUGCGAAUAUUUACUUCCAAGUCUGAAAUCAAGGGAGUUUGCAGUGUGGGUUGUUGCUACCACCUCUUAUCUGAAGAGUUUGAAAACCCACAUAAAGAAUGUACCCAAGAAAAGUGGGGAUUUCCAAUGUGCCACUAUUUAAAGGAAGAGAGAUGGUGCUGUGGCCGGAAUGCCAGAAUGUCAGCAUGUUUGGCACUGGAGCGUGUUGCAGUCGGCCAAGGGCUGCCUACUGAAUCACUCUUCUAUCGUGCCGUACUUCAGGAUAUUAUUAAAGAUUGUUAUGGCAUCACCAAAUGUGAUCGGCAUGUUGGUAAAAUUUAUUCCAAAUCCUCUUCCUUUCUGGAUUAUGUCAGAAAGUCUCUAAAGAAGCUUGGAUUAGAUGAGUCCAAGCUACCAGAAAAAAUUAUAAUGGACUACUACAAGAAGUACAAGCCUAGAAUGAAUGAGCUGGAGGCUUUUAAUAUGUUGAAAGUUGUUCUGGCUCCUUGCAUAGAGACAUUGAUUCUUCUGGAUCGACUUUGCUACCUCAAAGAGCAGGAUGAUAUUGCGUGGUCUGCGCUCGUGAAGUUGUUUGAUCCUGUGAAAUCUCCCAGAUGUUAUGCCAUUAUUGCGCUGAAGAAGCAGCAGUGAUUUCAAUUGAAGCAAGAGACAAAUGUGAGAUUCCAGCAUCUAAUCAACAUGAGAUGAUCUGUACAGUCACACUGAGAUGACAACAUUUCAGGAGAAAGCAAAGAAAUACAAUAUGUUGGUAGGACUUUAUACACGUGAAUCCCUGUUGCACUGUUUGUAGACUCAUCUCAUAAAAACUGCUCUUUGGGACUUCCCUGGUGGCGCAGUGGUUGAGAGUCCGCCUGCCGAUGCAGGGGACACGGGUUCGUGCCCCUGUCCGGGAAGAUCCCACAUGCCGCGGAGCGGCUGGGCCCGUGAGUCCUGGCUGCUGAGCCUGCGCGUCCGGAGCCUGUGCUCCGCAACGAGAGAGACCACAGCAGUGAGAGGCCCGCGUACCGCAAAAAAAAAAACCGAACUGCUCUUUGAGAACUCCUUUACAAGUUGAAUGAAAGAGUGGUGCAUUAGCAGGAGCACCAACUCUGACAAUUACCUUCUGGGUUUCCUCAUAUGUGUCAAUUCCUGUGAGAAGCAGUGGCUGAUACUCUGCCUACACCUCCACCGCCACCCAGGUGAGGAGUAAGAACAUCAUCUAGGUGGCUGCCAUGUGGAGAGCACGGGAACAGUACAUUGCCAGGCCUACUUAUCUGCCUGCAAUUCUGGGCCGGAAUGACUCAAAGGCAGGAACCAUGAGAAACACCAUUGAACCUCCAGAUUCUGACGUGGAGCAUUGUUCAGUCUCGCAUGUUUAAUUAAGGUUUAUUGAACCUUUAUAAUAUAUAAUAUGUUAUAUAUCGUAAUUAUAUUAUAUGUGGUAUAAGGUGAAAUAACCCAAAGCUUGUAAUAUUGCAGUGUUCUAAACUGAAGCAUAAAAGACACUCUGAAUGGACCUCUCAGGCUGGAGGACAGCCUAAGCAGUAAGUCUAUGAAAUGGGAAUACAGAGGGCAGAGCUAAACCAUUUCUGUGCCAGAGACCCCCUUGGGCCCCUUCUCAAGCAAUGUUCUUUAACAUACAGUAAAAUACAUAAUUUGACAAAGGAAGCCAAUCAUAUAGAGAUAGUUAACAACAGAGCUUUUAAAAAUGAUAAUUUAGUAAUAUGUGUAUUUAUUACUCAUUAAACAAUAAGAUCAAGUAGCAGUUCUAAAAACUACUAUGGGGACUUCCCUGGUUGUCCAGUGGUUCAGAAUCCACCUUCCAAUGCAGGGGACGUGGGUUCGAUCCCUGGUCAGGGAACUAAGAUUCCACGUGCCACAGGGCAACUAAGCCCACAUGCCGCAACUAGAGAGCCUAUGUGCCAUAACUACAGAGCCCAUGUGCCAUAACUACAGAGCCCACAUGCUCUGGAGCCCACUCAGUCACCACAACUAGAGAGAAGCCCGCGAGCCGGAACAAAGAGCCUGCGUGCUGUAAUGAAUGAUCCUGUGUGCCGCAACUAAGACCCGACACAGCCAAAAACAAACAAAUAAAUAAAUAAAUAUUUUAAAAUAAAUAAUAAAAACUACUAUGAUUUUGAAGUAACAAUAAAUGUGAGUAAUAUUUGAAGAUAUCAGCCACAGCUGUAAUGUGACAUGAAGAUAUCUGCACCUUCUAUUGGCAAGAGUUUCAGGUACUACCAGUCAUACUGAGAUUUUUUGUCCACGUUUAUAAUAGAAGGAAACACUGAAUUUCAAUCAGAGGUUAGUGAAAAUAAAGUAAUAGGUUUUCUCCAAGAUCCACGAUCAUGGAUGCCCUGAAUUCUAUCUGUGGAUCCCCUGGGUUCAGUAUACCCUCUACCUGUAGAACACAGGAAAACAGACCACCUAAAAUAACAACUAUGAAUAGCAAUUCUUCCAUAUUUAGAGGAAUGAUAUCUCCCCAAAUCAGUGUAAGCCUCUACCUACACUAUAUGAUA
Molecule: RNA transcript, 3720 nt
Organism: Mesoplodon densirostris (Blainville's beaked whale)
Lineage: Eukaryota; Metazoa; Chordata; Mammalia; Artiodactyla; Ziphiidae
Gene: METTL25
Gene name: methyltransferase like 25
Exons: 14
Source: RefSeq, a predicted model, not a curated record